Molecule: long non-coding RNA, 151 nt
Organism: Juglans microcarpa x Juglans regia
Lineage: Eukaryota; Viridiplantae; Streptophyta; Magnoliopsida; Fagales; Juglandaceae
Exons: 3
Source: RefSeq, a predicted model, not a curated record
AAUAGAAACUUGUGAGAGAAAUAAAAACUUGGGAGAAAUGAUAGAGACAUUCCAUCUCCAAUCUAAAUGACAAAGAUGAGCUGGGCAAGAAAGAAAACAAAUAGAAGUGGGCUACACUGUUUUUUGUAUUUUAAUCAUUCAGAGCAUGAGA